CUUUCAGUCGGAUUUUUACAGC
Molecule: microRNA, 22 nt
Filed under: Xenopus laevis (African clawed frog)
Lineage: Eukaryota; Metazoa; Chordata; Amphibia; Anura; Pipidae
Description: xla-miR-30e-3p
Gene: xla-miR-30e-3p
Source: miRBase by way of RNAcentral